This 1590-nucleotide ribosomal RNA is filed under the name Aonchotheca putorii. RNAcentral describes it as "SSU rRNA". It matches the Rfam family "Eukaryotic small subunit ribosomal RNA", at positions 21 to 1596 of the family's 1831-position model. The record is from RNAcentral. Lineage: Eukaryota; Metazoa; Nematoda; Enoplea; Trichinellida; Capillariidae. RNAcentral also lists the same sequence under 1 other name.
AGUCAUAUGCUUGUCUCAAAGACUAAGCCAUGCAUGUGCAAGUGCAUACCGCUUGACGGUAAAACCGCGAACGGCUCAUUAGAACAGUUAUUGUUCGCAAGAACUGAUAUCCACUUGGAUAACUGUGGAAAUGCUAGAGCUAAUACACGCCAUGAUGCUUUGGACUUUCUUGGUGCCAAAGCGCGUUUAUUGGUACAAUCUGUCAGCGUUUGAUCGGCCACCUCGUUUGGUGCGUUCGGUUCGCUGUUCAGUUGUUGAAACGGAGUAACUAUGCUGAUCGCACGGUCCUAGUACCGGCGACGAAUCUCUGAAAUGACUUGCUCAUCAACUGUCGAUGGUAGGUUACGUGCCUACCAUGGUGACAACGGUUAACGGAGAAUCAGGGUUCGAUUCCGGAGAAGGAGCCUGAGAGACGGCUACUACAUCCAAGGAAGGCAGCAGGCGCGCAAAUUACCCACUCCCAGAACGGGGAGGUAGUGACGAUAAAUAACGGAACGUAUCUCGAUGAGACGCGUUAUCGGAACGAUUGAGCCGUAUACGAGCUCGACUAAAGCUAUUGGAGGGCAAGUCUGGUGCCAGCAGCCGCGGUAAUUCCAGCUCCAAUAGCGUAUAUUAAAGCUGCUGCGGUUGAACCGCUCGUAGUUGGAUUGCGAUUUUCGGCCACGGUCCUCUAAGUCAAGAGGAUUGGCUCUGCCGCCGUUGGUCAUGAUCGGUAUUGUCAUGCUUGUCCUUGAUGCUCUUUGCUGAGUGUCAUGGGUGACAUGGACGUUUACUUUGAGAAAAUAAGAGCGCUCAAAGCAGGCUGCUCAUAGCUUGAACGGAAUUUCAUGGGAUAGUGAAAGAUGAUCUCGCUGGUAGUCAAAAAACCACGAGGUAAUGAUUAAAAGAGACAGACGGUGGCAUUCGUACUGCUGCGUUAGAGGUGAAAUUCUUGGAUCGUAGCAAGACGAACAAUUGCGAAAGCAUUUGCCAAGAAUGUUUUCAUUAAUCAAGAACGAAAGUUGGAGGAUCGAAGGCGAUCAGAUACCGCCCUAGUUGCGACUUUAAACGAUGCCAACUAGCGAUUCGGCGAUGUCUUUCUAAUGACUCGCUGAGCAGCUCCCGGGAAACCAAAGUCUUUCGGUUCCGGGGGAAGUAUGGUUGCAAAGCUGAAACUUAAAGGAAUUGACGGAAGGGCACCACCAGGAGUGGAGCAUGCGGCUUAAUUUGACUCAACACGGGAAAGCUCACCCGUCCCGAACACUGUCAGGAUUGACAGAUUGAGAGCUCUUUCUUGAUUCAGUGGGUAGUGGUGCAUGGCCGUUCUUAGUUGGUGGAGCGAUUUGUCUGGCCAAUCCCGAUAACGAACGAGACUCUGGCCUACUAAAUAGUGACGGCUCAAUUUGCUUUGCCGAGCACUUCUUAGAGGGACAAGCGGCGGUACAAAGCCGCACGAGAAAGAGCAAUAACAGGUCUGUGAUGCCCUUAGAUGGACGGGGCUGCACGCGUGCUACACUGAUGGCACCAACAUGCGUUCAAGCCUGGCCUGAAGAGGUCGGGUAAUCGUUAGAAAUGUCCGUCGUGACUGGGACAGGGAAUUGCAAUUAUUUC